AACGAACGCUGGCGGCAGGCUUAACACAUGCAAGUCGAGCGCCCCGCCAGGGGAGCGGCUGCCGGGUGAGUAACGCGUGGGAACGUACCUUUUGGUUCGGAACAACUCCGGGAAACUGGAGCUAAUACCGGAUAAGCCCUAACGGGGAAAGAUUUAUCUCCGAAAGCUCGGCCCGCGUCUGAUUAGCUAGUUGGUGAGGUAACGGCUCACCAAGGCGACGAUCAGUAGCUGGUCUGAGAGGAUGAUCAGCCACACUGGGACUGAGACACGGCCCAGACUCCUACGGGAGGCAGGAGUGGGGAAUAGUGGAAAAUGGGGGCAAGCCUGAACCAGCCAUGACGCGUGAGUGAUGAAGGUCUUAGGGUUGUAAAGCUCUUUUGUCCGGGAAGAUAAUGACUGUACCGGAAGAAUAAGCCCCGGCUAACUUCGUG
This 431-nucleotide ribosomal RNA is filed under the name uncultured bacterium. Its description in RNAcentral is "partial 16S ribosomal RNA". It matches the Rfam family "Bacterial small subunit ribosomal RNA", at positions 29 to 507 of the family's 1533-position model. The record is from RNAcentral.